Struthio camelus australis is the source of this 1570-nucleotide long non-coding RNA. NCBI's taxonomy places the organism in Eukaryota, Metazoa, Chordata, Aves, Struthioniformes, Struthionidae. The record is from Ensembl.
CGGGGUGAGGCGGGGCUGGUCUUAGCCACAGGCACCCCUUCAAGCAACUAGGAGUCGGUAACGUGUUUGGGAAGAAAAGUACAGAUGAAAUUAAUGACUUCAUUAACGAGAAGAUGAAUCACACACUUUGUAGUCAGAGAUGCUGCAGAAGAGCAUGCAGAUGCUUCAUGCAGUGGGCCAGAGCAUCCACUAGAGCCCAAAAAAAGGUCUCUGUACUGAGUAAAGAGCCACUAACAGGAGCCAGCAGAAAGCCUGGGGCUGCAGCCUCUUCAGGCUGUCAGUUCCUUUACUGUGAGCUGCUACAGAAAGGUUCCCUGCAGCCAAAAGCUCACCCGUGAAACCUCGUCCAAAAAUAAGACUUGUGGGUAUCAUCUACUAAUGCCUGAAUUUGCAGUCAAAGGUGACAUACCUAAAGGUUUUUAAGUCUCAGUGGCUAAAGAGGCUAAUAAAACGUGGGAGAGUCAGUAGGCAUUAGCUAGCUAGACUUUUUGUGGUGCUAUUUUUAAGCAACCAAACCUUACCAAUAUUUCUGCGGAGGCUCAGCACCAUAUAGACAAGUAAGUCUCCCUUGCAGCUUCUCUGGAUGAUGACUAACCAAUGCUAACUGCAACCUGGUGGCGUGAUAAGCUUAUGAAUUAUGAUAUAUUUGGACCUCUGUGUUAGCUUUACUUCCCAGGAGCUAGACUGGCAGCCCAAAGGAGUUCAGCAGCUUCGACAACCCAUGAAGACUCAGGGAUGAGCCCUGUGACCAGCCGAAGACACUGCCUUCAGCAGCAAGGCACACGGCCACCCACUUGGGAUGUGCGCAAAGGGCUCAGCAGUGCACUUGAAGCUCGCUGGAGGAGGCCAUCGCUUCUAGGAGCAGGGAAACGGUCCAGGGGAAACACAUCGCACCGGACUGGCCAAGCUGCUCCCAGCAAUGCUAGGAGCACAACUGAAUUCCCACGGCGGUCCCAGCAUCCCAGCCACUCCCUUGCGGUGUUUCUGCAGCCGUCGCAAGCAGCCAAGGCCAGCCUGAGAGCACCCAGCUAGGGCUGUGCCCUGCUUCCUGGGCUAGAAACGAGGCCACUGCUUGCCACCAGUGUGCUUUGAGCAGCUCCAGCCAUUCUGAGUGCAAGAAAUCAAACCAAGUCUUUUGACUGCAAUGACCCAGAAACUGGAAGGGUGUGCAAGUGCCUGGCAGGAUACCUCCCUACUGCUUGCAGUAUGAUGCCACACAUCAAGUAACUGAACUUGUCUUGCUCUGCAAUGGAAUUGGAGUAGCUGUGUCCCUUCGAUGUGGCAUAGGAGACAGUUGCUGCCCAAGAAGCUGCCAGUAAAGGGACAGGUGUAAUAAGAUGCAGAGAAAGCAAAGCCACCUCCAGGUCUGGUGAUUUGUUUACAUUUACUUAGCUUAUAGCAAAGGUUGAGAAGAAACUCUCUCAUGAACAUCCUCAUAGCUUUUAAGAGAGGAUAAUAUGAACCUCUGACAAGUUUUGCAAGGAUCUUUGUCUAGCCUAAGGCAAGGUAUGCUCACAGAAAGCCUAGAGCGACCUACAGGUUUAUGUAUGUCAGCUGCCUCUGAGCUAAC